UGGAAGGAGCAACUCCAAUGGCUUCACCUAAUUCUUGGUUCUAUAAUGCAGAUAGGGAAAUGGAGAGUUUGCCCCAACAGUCACUUCUUCAGUCAACUAAUCUCCAUUUUGGUGAAAGGCCAGACCUCAAAAGUAAGUUUAUCAAAAAAUAUAUCAGUCGUCAUAUAUCAAGUUUAUAUAUUAAUUUGAAAAAUAGAGUAAUAACAUAUUUUAAUCCGUUAAAUUUAACUAAUGGUGUAAAAACAAUUCUAUGGCUUUUUGUAUAUAACUUAAAUCCCAAGAUGAUUUAGCUAUAGAAUCGAUCAAAUUACCUAACUUUUUACUAAUUAAUAGAACUACUGGAGACUCUUACCUGCUACAAUUUGAAGAACUCUCCUUUAAAAAAGUUGUAAAUUUGAUGCAGAGAUUCUUUUUGAGAGGAAAGAAUCAAGUGUUGGAGUACUAGUGUGUGGGCCAAAGAAGAUGAGACAUGAAGUUGCAAACAUUUGUUCCUCUGGU
Molecule: long non-coding RNA, 498 nt
Filed under: Nicotiana tabacum (common tobacco)
Lineage: Eukaryota; Viridiplantae; Streptophyta; Magnoliopsida; Solanales; Solanaceae
Description: long non-coding RNA (NTAB_LNC010169)
Source: RNAcentral